UGGCUAAUUUAAUCAUCAUCCUUGCUGUUCUGUGAUGCCGCUGGCAGGGUGGCUAUCUGAGGCCUCCCAGGUCACCCUCCCGUGACGAGGGGAGACAGGUGCUGUGCCCACACCGAGGGCCGUCAGUGCGUGGGUGACGACCACACCUGGCAGGGCCGCAGAGCGCCUCGGAUGUGGGCUGUGGCCAGCAGCGCGCAGCAGAGGGAGCCCGGGCAUCUGUGCUGCAUUCCCAGCCCGGCUGAAGUUCCAGCAGCGCCCGCCGGCCCCUCAGCUCCACUGCGAUGCGCCUGCCGCGGUGAGGAGGGAGAGAGCCCAUUUUGCUUUCUUAGAGCAGGGGUGAGCAAUGAGCUCGCCGAGGAAUUUGGCAAGGAGACGGGAGCGGAAGGCAGUCGGGUGCCGGCAGACAAGUUGUGAGAUCCUUGCGGCGGCUCCCGGGGGGAGCAGCGGCUGACAAGACAGGGCUGGCGGGCUGCAGACCAGAGGGCGCCCCGCAGCACUGGAGCCUGACGCAGCCCCUGCUCCUGCUGCCUGUGGCUGAAUAAAGGGAGGAAGCUGGAGACACAAUUGCCAGUGAGCAAGCAAGCCAGGGAGCAGUGUUCCUAAAAGGAGAACACAGGCUCCAGAGGAGGGAGGGUGACCCUCUGCCUGCAAGGCUGCCUUUAAAGGAGAAUCCCUCAGCGCCACGUGACACAGGAGAAGGAUGAAGUCGCAGCUCUGCUGACUGAAACUCAUUUAAACUUUCCUGUGAGCGAGCGCCACGCUGCAUUAUCUAUGGAGUGGCUGGCUUCCACCGGGGUAGAGUGAAGUGCAGUGCCGGGCCAGGCCGGGAGGGGCAGGGUCCCUCCACACGCUGCGGUGAUGCCGUCACCGUGCUGUGAAGCAGCCACUGAAAUCUAAACUUCGCCCUUUGACUCCGGAACAAGGACACGUC
This 931-nucleotide long non-coding RNA is filed under the name Heterocephalus glaber (naked mole-rat). Its description in RNAcentral is "lncRNA (ENSHGLG00000047211.1)". The record is from RNAcentral. Lineage: Eukaryota; Metazoa; Chordata; Mammalia; Rodentia; Bathyergidae.